CAAUCAUCAUCAUCAUCCUCGUUGUUGUCGUCAUCAUCAUCAUCAUCAUCAUCACCAUCCUGGACCACAAAACUGCUCAGAGGCAGAGCCCUUCCUGAGUGUGAGGAUGCUCAAGUGCAGAUGGCUGGUCUAGGUUUUGCUUCUGGAAAAUAAGAUUCAGGACCCUGCCCAGUUUCCACUCAUCCUUUAUAGGGGGAUGUUCGUGAUCACCACCCUGUGCAUAAGCCUCAGGCCUUGGCUACCUCAAGUUUGGGGUCACCACCCAGGCAAGCAUCACCCUCAACCUCCCCAACUGUUGGUGAGUGAGAUCAGGCCUCAAGUCAGAAGGAUGCCAUGCAGGUGGGGCUGGCUUGGCUUCCGCUUAUCAGAGGAGAGUAGCAAGGCAGAUACAGGAAGCGUCAAGUGAUGAGCUACAGCUGAGCGCUGUCUACCUGGGGGCCAGGAUUGGUGCAAGGAUCCCGUGAGAGUCGAGCACAUGAGGUGGACACAGAGGGAGCGGCUGUUGUGAAAUGAGAUGGCUGGAGAUUGGACUUGCCAUACGAUGGGCUUUGAAUCCCCUGCUCAAGCUUAGAACUCUUUCUUGUCUUCCAGAGGCUACUGGUAUCUGUAGAUGGAUCUUUCUGAUUCCCUUGGUCGUCCGCAGUUUGAACCAGUCUGUCAAGCUCCUCUCCUUGGGCCGUAUGUGCCUCUCCUACCCCUGCAAUUCCACGUCCCCUUGGAGAUCAUCACACCAUUCACCAUGUCCCGGGUGCUGAAGCGCCGGCCUUCGUGGUAAACCUGGACGUCCACCCUGCCAUGGUCUGUCUGACCAUGAGUAAAAGGCAAGCAGCCUUGCUUCUCUCCUGCCCCUCCACCAAACCCCAGAAGUUUCCAGGAGUCAGGCCGCCAGGACCUCCCUAGCGCAAUGCAAAGUUCCAGGCACAGUAGAUGUUUGUGGAAUUAAGGUGAACCUAAGUGGGACUCAUCCGUUAGGUUCUUUGGUGGCAAGCAAGAGAAUACAACUCUGGCCAAGAAGCUAAAACAAAGGGAAUUGGGGGUUCCUAACAGAGUCGAAGGAAGAGCUAAAGAAGCAGAUGUCGAAAAAGACCAAAACCGGGCAAAGCCUGAGAUUGGAGUCAGAGGAAUUAAGAGACUCUGCCUCUGAGAUAAAUUUCUUCCAGCUGUCUUCCAUCCUUGGGCUCUCUGCUCAAGAUGCAAAUUCUAUGGAGAGAGAGUCCAAUCACACAUGCCCAUCCAGUGGGCAAGGAAUGGUGGGGAAUUCUGAUUGACAAUGCCACCAAGAACGCCAUGCAGUGAGAGAGGGAUGAUACCUCAAGUCAAACAUGGGGUUCUGCACCAAAAGAAGGGGGAAUCAAUGGUGGGGAUGUUAAUAGCAGCAGUCUACUUUGUGUGGACAUCACCAUCCAGAUGACAGAUGUCACCAGGUAAGGGUAGCUGUGAGAAACAGGGAAGAGUCAGAUAUGACAUUAGCCAACUUAGAGAAAUGGUCACAGCAUCUUGAAGUACUAAAAACAGCGAAAGUUGUAGAUCAGGAGGAAACUAAGUUCAACACCCAGCUCUCUAUUUUUAAAAGGCUUAAUCUGAGAACCUGAACAAUGAUCCCUGAGCUUCCUGGAAUUGUGUGCAAACACGGUAUGCAAAGGCAUGCGUUAUUGUUGGUUUGUUGUGGUUGCCAUUGUUUUGGGGUGUUUUUUUGCAAGGAGAAUCCCUAGUUCCCACCGACUUGUGAAAGUGGUCUGUAAAACAUUAUGAGUCUGUUAACAAGGAGGCUGCCCUCUCUCAGACAGGCCCCAGUCAGAAUCUCCCUCAUCGGAGCUGUGGGGCGCCAUCUUGGUUGCUAUUUCUACCAGGCACAUGGAUGAGGAUGGAAAUAGCCCCACUUUCUCAAUUUGAAAAAUGAGAGUCCAGAGGAAACCGUCUCAGGCAUUUUCAGUUUAGAUGGUGAUUAUGGAUUCUUUCUCCUUGGAAAUUCCCAGGAUCUCCACAAUCUGCUCAGAACUAGGUAAAAAAUGUGGUUUUCUCUCACAGCCUACCAUGAGCGAUUUGAGCAGGGGCCAUGGCCACAAAAGGGUGCACAGUUCAGUCUAAAGUUCCCCAUCUCCAGGGAGCGAGGGCCCAGGGUAGGCACAUUUCCAAAUUUACAAGAAGCCAG
Molecule: long non-coding RNA, 2152 nt
Filed under: Equus caballus (horse)
Lineage: Eukaryota; Metazoa; Chordata; Mammalia; Perissodactyla; Equidae
Description: lncRNA (ENSECAG00000044791.1)
Source: RNAcentral